This is a long non-coding RNA of Vicugna pacos (alpaca), 2820 nucleotides long. RefSeq lists it as uncharacterized. NCBI's taxonomy places the organism in Eukaryota, Metazoa, Chordata, Mammalia, Artiodactyla, Camelidae. The record is from RefSeq and is a predicted model, not a curated record.
GUCUUCAUCCUAAGAGCAGUGGGAAGCUUUCUGAGGGUUUUCACCAGAAGGCUACAGGUCAAACUUGGGCUCUGAAAAGUUCACUCUAGCUUCAGUGUUGGGAAGAGACUCAGAGCAAAACCAUUAAAAAUGGCAAAAAAAUGAAGAACAUACCAGCUGAGUAAAAUCUUAGACAGCUGACUCCUUAACUAGACUGACAGUCAAGAAAUGCCCCCACGUAAUUACCGGCACGUGUGCAUGUCACGUGCACAACCCUGUCACGUUGCAUCUGGGCAGACAGACCAGCUGGAGGACCCACUGGAGCCUCUUGUUUCUGUACCCCUGCAGCUGGCUGAGCACCUAAACUGGUUUCCUGGGCCCUCAAGAAAUGCCUGCUGGAAAAAUGGACACCUUAGUGACAGUGCCACCUGGCCAGCCAGGCUGUGACAUCUGAGUCCAUGCUCCAUGAGGCAGGGUGCCUCAGGCCUCUGCUAAUUUAAGAAGAUUUGUCUGGGCAAUGCCAAAGUGAGAUGAACAGAAACAACUUUAACAGAAGGUAAAAAUGAAUGAUAUUAAAAAACGAUAAUAAAGGCUGGUCAGAGGCUGAUUUGACAUUGGAGACUAUACUCCUGCCUGGCUGAUUGCUUCAGAAACCCUCUUGAAACCCUGGGAUUUAUUUGCAAAUGAUCUCCACUGUGGACCAAAGAGUUCAACAGGAAAAGAAAUGAGCAAAAUUGAUGAGUUGGGUGGAACAAAAUAGGGCCAUCACACUGUGGUGGGAAGAGGUGAGACAGGGCGUCCCCGGGAACAUUUUGAUCAAAUUGCCAUGGCGGAGGUGGGGCUGCUUCUCUUCCGGUCUCGGGCGCUUCACAGGCCUCCCCUGCACUUAGCUGCUCCUCCUUUGUCCAGCCAGCCGUGGUAGCUCCAGGCCAGUGAGCCGCAGCUCUGAGGAUGGGGCCCUCUUCCCAACGCAGGGGAGUGCAAAGAGCGGGGCCUGCAUUUACAGACCUUGAGGAAAUCCAAGGAAGGCAAUUUGUUUUUUGGACUGGCUGCAGGAUGCCACAGCUCAAAGCCUGUCCUAAAACUGUCUAUUCUCUCCAUUUACAAAUGUACAUGUACAUAAUUAAAAAAACCUUUUUAUUCUGAAAUAAUGUCAAACUUAUAGAAAGAACUCCCAUGUACCAGUCACCUGGAUUCAGCUGUUGGCACCCUCUGCCACAUUUGCUUUAUUUCUGUAACUCUUUUACCCAUAAAUACUUCACUGUAUGCGCCCUGAGAACAAGGACAUUCGUUCUUUUAUACAAUCGCAGUGAGAUUGUCAACGUGGGGAAACAGAACAUCAAUCCAUGUGGGCUAUGAUCAACUGAAGGUUCAUAUUUAAGUGACUACAAUUCCCCAAUGAUGUCCUUUUUUAAAAAACUGUUUAAAAGUUAUUAUUUUUUUAAAUUUUCUUAUUUUUUGUUUUGGCAGAAGAGGUAAUUAGGUUUAUUUUUAAAGGAGGUACUGGGGAUUGAACCCAGGACCUUAUGCAUGCUAAGUAGGCACUCUACCACUGAGUGUCCACCUCCCCACUCUGAAACAUGAGAAGAAAUGAUGGUGCCCAUCUCUUGUGAGGGUAAAAUGAGGUUGAAUGUAGAGCUUCCUCAUCUCUAGCACAGAGUUAACUAGCAAAUGGAGAAAUGGUGGUGACAGAGGCACCCAGGGGAACACCUGUUUAGAGGGGAGGCCAUGUGAAGACACAGUGAGAAGGUGUCAUCUGUAAGCCAAGGACAGAGGCCUCAGAUGAAACCAAACCCGCGGACACCUUGGUCAUGGACUUCUAGCCUCCAGAACGAGAGCACAGCUGCCGUCCAUGUCGGGUGUGAGCCUCUGCUCCAUCUCUCUGGAGCCUGGAGGCCAAGCAUGUGACCCAUGUCCGUGUGUUAAGACCCACCUGACACCUGCACAACACCACCAGAAAUUGACAAACCAAUCUUAAAAUUCAUAUGGAAUCCAAGAGACCCAGGAUGGCCAAACCAAUCUUGAAAAAGGAAGAAAGUUGGGGGAUUCAUAUUUCCCAACUUUAAAACUUACUGCCAAGCAACAGGUAAUCAAGACAGUGAGGCGCUGGCAUAAGGACAGACACACAGAUCAAUGGACUAGAAUUGAGAGUCAAGAAGUAAACUCAUAUAUUCAUGAGUAAAUGACUUUUAACAAGAGUGCUAGGAACAUUCAAAUGGGGAAAACAGUCUUUUCAACAAAUGGUGCUGGGACUACUGGAUGUCUCAGGCAAGAGGAUAAAAUUGGACCCCUGCCUCACACCAUACAUAUACAAAAUUAACUUAAAAUGGGUAAAAGACCUAAAUGUAAGAGAGAAAACUGUAAACUCUUAGGAGAAAGCAUUCCAUUUGUGGAAUGGUUUCUUUGAUAUGAAACCAAAAGGGUAAACAACCAAAGGAAAAAUAAAUUGGACCCCAUCAAAGUAAAAAACUUUUGCUCUUGAAAAGAUGCUAUUAAAAAAGUGAAAAUACAACCCAUUGAGUGGAAAAGAUAUUUGCAAAUCAUAUAUCUGAUAAGCGUCUAGUAUCCAGAAUGUAUAAAAAAUUCCUACAACUCAGCAACAGAAAACCAAAGAACCUGUUUUAAAAAAUGAGCAAAGGACUUAGACAUUUCUCCAAAGAAGAUAUACAAAUGGCCAACAAGAACACGGAAAGAUGCUUUACCUUCCUGAUCAUUAGAGAAACUCAAACCCAAACCACAGUGAGAUACCACCCUACGCACAUUAGGAUGGCUAUGAUUAAAAAUAAAACCCAAAAGAUGACGGGUGUUGACAGAGAUGUGGAGAAAUUGGAACUCUUGUUC